This 253-nucleotide ribosomal RNA is filed under the name uncultured bacterium. RNAcentral describes it as "partial 16S ribosomal RNA". It matches the Rfam family "Bacterial small subunit ribosomal RNA", at positions 524 to 776 of the family's 1533-position model. The record is from RNAcentral.
UACGUAGGGGGCAAGCGUUGUCCGGAUUUAUUGGGCGUAAAGAGCGUGUAGGCGGCCAGGUAGGUCGGUUGUGAAAACUGGAGGCUCAACCUUCAGACGUCGACCGAAACCCCCUGGCUAGAGUCCGGGAGAGGAGAGUGGAAUUCCUGGUGUAGCGGUGGAAUGCGCAGAUAUCAGGAAGAACACCCGUGGCGAAAGCGGCUCUCUGGAACGGUACUGACGCUGAGACGCGAAAGCGUGGGGAGCGAACAGG